GAUGAACGCUGGCGGCGUGCCUAAUACAUGCAAGUCGAGCGAAUGGAUUAAGAGCUUGCUCUUAUGAAGUUAGCGGCGGACAGGUGAGUAACACGUGGGUAACCUGCCCAUAAGACUGGGAUAACUCCGGGAAACCGGGGCUAAUACCGGAUAACAUUUUGAACCGCAUGGUUCGAAAUUGAAAGGCGGCUUCGGCUGUCACUUAUGGAUGGACCCGCGUCGCAUUAGCUAGUUGGUGAGGUAACGGCUCGCCAAGGCAACGAUGCGUAGCCGACCGGAGAGGGUGAUCGGCCACACUGGGACUGAGACACGGCCCAGACUCCUACGGGAGGCAGCAGUAGGGAAUCUUCCGCAAUGGACGAAAGUCUGACGGAGCAACGCCGCGUGAGUGAUGAAGGCUUUCGGGUCGUAAAACUCUGUUGUUAGGGAAGAACAAGUGCUAGUUGAAUAAGCUGGCACCUUGACGGUACCUAACCAGAAAGCCACGGCUAACUACGUGCCAGCCGCCGCCGUAA
RNAcentral lists this ribosomal RNA (515 nucleotides) under uncultured bacterium. RNAcentral describes it as "partial 16S ribosomal RNA". It matches the Rfam family "Bacterial small subunit ribosomal RNA", at positions 28 to 523 of the family's 1533-position model. The record is from RNAcentral.